AACAAACGCUGGCGGCGUGCCUAAUACAUGCAAGUCGAACGGGGAAAGGCUUCGGCCAAGUACUAGUGGCGCACGGGUGAGUAAUACAUGGGUAAUCUGCCUCAGAGUGGGGGAUAACUAGUUGAAAAAUUAGCUAAUACCCCAUAAGACCACGAUCUCAUAAGAGGUUGAGGUAAAGGUUUUUCGCUUUGAGAUGAGCCCAUGUGAGAUUAGCUAGUUGGUAGGGUAACGGCCUACCCAGGCGACGAUCUCUAGCUGGUCUGAGAGGAUGAUCAGCCACACUGGAACUGAGACACGGUCCAGACUCCUACGGGAGGCAGCAGUAGGGAAUAUUGCGCAAUGGAGGAAACUCUGACGCAGCGACGCCGCGUGAGCGAUGAAGGCCUUCGGGUUGUAAAGCUCUGUUGCAGGGGAAAAUAAAGUGAUUGUACCCUGCGAGGAAGGAUCGGCUAACUUCGUGCCAGCCGCCGCAGUAA
This 476-nucleotide ribosomal RNA is filed under the name uncultured bacterium. RNAcentral's name for it is "partial 16S ribosomal RNA". It matches the Rfam family "Bacterial small subunit ribosomal RNA", at positions 29 to 523 of the family's 1533-position model. The record is from RNAcentral.